UAUUUCUUUCUACUGCUUUGAGUUUAAUUGGUAUUUUUUCUGACUUUUUGAAGUGAAAGUCCAUAUGAUUAAUUUUCAGCUUUUCUCCAUUUCUAAUACAUAUGUUUAAACUUAUAUGAUUUUUGUAACAUUUUAUCUUCAUUGUAUAAGUUUUAACAAGAAUAUUUUAUCAUUUAAUUAAAUUUCAUUAUGAUUUCUUAUUUGAAUAAUGGAUUAUUUCAAAAUAUAUUUUUUAUUUUCCAAUGUAUGAGGGGAUCUACUAGUUAUCUUCUUGUUAAAAAAACUCUGGCUUAUACUGUCUGUUCAAUAUUUAGUACUUUGAAAUGUUUUGAAACUUGCUUGCUUUUUAAGGUUUGUAGAAUAUCUCUUCUAUAUUAUUUUUCUUUUAUUCUUGUUUUCUGGUUCAUAUGUCUUAACUAAUUUUACUGUAUCCUUUAAUCCCUUUUGCCCUUUUCUCUUUUUAUUCUCUUUUAGUCUCAAUACUUCAGUUGGUAAAUUUUCUUCUAAUUCUUUAUGCCUACCUUGCAGUUAAACGUAUUCAUUUAAUUAUUAAUUUCAGAUAUAUAUUUUUACCUAUAGAAUCUCUUUUUGACUUUUUAUUGUAUUCAUUUUACUGUAAAUCAUUCAAUCUUACCUUUUAGCUGUUUGAACAUAUUAAACAUAGUAAUUCAAAAAUCUCUAUGGGUAACUCCAGUAUAAGUAUGGGUUUGUUUCUAGUGUGUGCUUUUUCCUCUUGGUUGUCUAUCAUGUUGUUUCAUUUACCUCGAAACAUGAAUGUGUUUAUGAUGAAUGAGAGUCACUGAAUAUUUAAAAAAUCAUAGAGAUAUUUUGAAGCUGGAAGAAUGUUCUUUUCAUCCAGACAGGAUUUAUUUUGUUUCUGCUGUGCAGCUAUGGACACUAGCAAUUCUCAUUUACCUUAAUUCAAUCAAGGAUUGAGAAUACUGAAGUAUGAAAUUAACUCUGUCUGCUUCCAGUUCAUACUUCUUCUCUGUAGCUCUUUUCUUAAAAUUUUUUUUUUAAAUUUUAUUUCAAUAGCAUUUGGAGUAUAAGUGGUUUUUUUUUACAUGGAUGAAUUAUAUAGUGGUGAAUUCUGAGAUUUUAGUGCAUCCAUCAUACAAGUAGUGUACAUUCUAUCUAAUAUGCAGUUUUUUUAAUCCCUAGCUCCUCUUCCAGCCUCUCCUUUCUGAGUCUCUAAAGUCCAUCAUAUGAGUCUGUAUGCCUUUGUGUACUCAUAGCUUAGUUCCCACUUAUAAGUGAGAGCAUAUGGUUUUUGGUUUUCCCUGUAGCUCUUUAGAAUCCCAAACUGUAGCCUAAGGGAAAGGUUUCCAAGGUACUCUCCUUAUUGCACUCCAAAGUAUGAUUUUUAUCUCCCUAACUCUAUGAGUCUAGCAAACGCUUUGCUUAACUUUUCAGCAUCUCAAGUGCCUUUUCUGAAUUUGACAGAUACACGUCAGAAAUGUGCUCCCAAAUGCCUAGCUUAUCUCUCUUUAUUAACUUCUCCAAAUCUUUGCCAAUAGCUAUAUGUCUUAACUGCCUUGUUUCCUCUUUAGAGCUUUGUAACACAUGUAUUUUUAUAGUUUAUCCUGCUUUUCCAGUUUUUUUCAUUGAAAUAAUUGUUAUAAUGACCAAUAGUCUAGUAUGCUGCUGUAAGACUUCUAUAGCUGUUAUCUCCUUUCAUAUUUCAAUUUCUUUAUGUGCUUUUUUUUGCAUGAAUUCCUAGGCUCCAUUUUCUAAUUCAUACGUUGGCAAAUGAUGAAAGUGAUAUGACGAUGAUGACCUCUGUUCCAGCCAUAUACAUUUUAAAGGAAAUUUUAUUGGAACACAGUCAUGCUCUCUUGUUUACAUAUUAUCUAUGACUUCUUUUGUAUUACAGUGGCAAAGUUGAGUAAUUGUGGAAGAGACCAUAUGGUCUACAAAGGCUAAAAUAUUUACUAUCUUGUUCAUUAUGAAAAAGUUUGCUGACUCCUACUGAGAUUUAUUUUUUCUUUAUUCUUUAACUUUCUGAAGUUUGUCAAUUGAUUUAAAAAUUUUAAUGACUUUUCCUUUCUAAAUUAUAUAUUUUUAUAUCUAACAUUAUUCUGCCAUUUCUAUAUUUUUUGCUAUAUUUUUUGCCUUAACCAAAUAAGUGUUUUAAUUGAGUCAGUGAAGAAAGAACUCACUGAAAGUAGAAGUGGAAACCUAAGCUAUAAGCUACUAUAUUAUAUAAGCUUCUCAACCUAUAAUUGUUUUUCCAUUAGAUAUAGAACAAUGGAAGUGACAACAAGAUUGACAUGGAAUGAUGAAAAUCAUCUGUGCAAGCUGCUUGGAAAUGUUUCUUUGAGUCUUCUCUAUAAGUCUAGUGUUCAUGGAGGUAGCAUUGAAAAUAUGGUUGAAAGAUGCAGCCAUCAGGGAUGUACUAUAACAAUGACUUACAUUGAUGACAAUAUGAUUGUAGCCUUUAUGCUUGGAAAUUAUAUUAAUUUACAUGAAAGUUCUACAGAGCCAAAUGAUUCCCUAUGGUUUUCACUUCAAAAGAAAAAUGACACCACUGAAAUAGAAACUCUACUCUUAAAUACAGCACCAAAAAUUAUUGAUGAACAACUGGUGUGUCGUUUAUCGAAAAAGGAUAUUUUCAUUUUAUGUCGAGAUAAUAAAAUUUAUCUAGAUAAAAUGAUAACAAGAAACUUGAAACUAAGGUUUUAUGGCUACCAUCAGUAUUUGGAACGUGAAGUUUUUCGAGUUGAAGGUACGUAAAAUUAGAUAAUCCUACAUCUCACAUUAUGAUUCUAAUCCUUGUGUUCGGUAGGUAAUAAUUGAUCUACAAGAGCAAGGAAAGUGAAAGGAACAGUUAGAUUCAUGCCAAUUUAUACUCUUUGAUAAAUUCUGAAAUGAAACGUGGGGAACAUAAGGAUUAUGAGGUUUUUAUCCAGAAUGUAUAGGCUGCUUUGAGCAAAGCAAGUUGAGAAAUAUAUGUGCAGAGAUAGAGAUGACAAAGGAGAUGGGGAUGUGGAGAGAGAGAGAUCUUAUCAUCAGAGCUGCUCUGUUUUGACAUAUGACCCAAAGAUCAGACCCUUAUAACAUAUGACCCUUAGAACUUCUAGGUGUAAUUGUGUGAGAGCUUCCAGAGCAAGUUAAUGUGCAGAGAGGAUAAUUUUUCCUCCUCUUCCUCUCAUUAUGUUGCCAACUCUGACUCCUAACUGAGCAGCUCAGCCCUGGGUUAUGCAAGCAAACUCAAUGUCUUAUUUCAAAAGUAGACUUGGCCACAUUUAACCAGACAAGUUUUAAAAAUUUAUUAUGCUAUGAUUAUUUCCUAUAGGAAUUAAGGAUAACCUAGACGACACAAAGAGGAUAAUGAAAGCCAGAGAGCACAGAAAUAGGCUUCUAGCAGACAUCAGAGCCUACAAGCCCUAUGCAGACUUGGUUUCAGAAAUUCGUAUUCUUUUGGUGGGUCCAAUUGGGUCUGGAAAGUCCAGUUUUUUCAAUUCAGUCAAGUCUAUUUUUCAUGGCCAUGUGACUGGCCAAGCCAUAGUGGGGUCUGAUAUCACCAGCAUAACCGAACGGUAUAGGAUAUAUUCUGUUAAAGAUGGAAAAAAUGGAAAAUCUCUGCCAUUUAUGUUGUGUGACACUAUGGGGCUAGUUGGGGCAGAGGGAACAGGACUAUGCAUGGAUGACAUUCCCCACAUCUUAAAAGGUUGUAUGGCAGACAGAUAUCAGUUUAAUUCCCAUAAACCAAUUACACCUGAGCAUUCUACUUUUAUCACCUCUCCAUCUCUGAAGGACAGGAUUCACUGUGUGGCUUAUGUCUUAGACAUCAACUCUAUUGACAAUCUCUCCUCUAAAAUGUUGGCAAAAUUCAAGCAAGUUCACAAAGAAGUAUUAAAUUGUGGUAUAGCACAUGUGGCCUUGCUUAUUAAAGUGGAUGAUUGCAGUGAGGUUCUUCAAGACAACUUUUUAAACAUGAGUAGAUCUAUGACUUCUCAAAGCCAGGUCAUGAAUGUCCAUAAAAUGCUAGGUAUUCCUAUUUCCAAUAUUUUGAUGGUUGGAAAUUAUGCUUCAGAUUUGGAACUGGACCCCAUAAAGGAUAUUCUGAUCCUCUCUGCACUGAGGCAGAUGCUGCGGGCUGCAGAUGAUUUUUUAGAAGAUUUGCCUCUUGAGGAAACUGGUGCAAUUAAGAGAGUGUUACAGCCCAGCAUUUGAUAUAAGUUGCCUUGAUUCUGACAUUUGGUCCAGCCUGUACUAGUGUGCCUCAAUGAGAGUCAAUCUCUAUUGACAGCCUGCUUCAGAUUUUGCUUUUGUUCAUUUUGCCUUCUUUCCUUGGAACAGUCAUAUCUCAAGUUCAAAGGCCAAACCUGAGAAGUGGUGGGCUAAGAUAGGUCCUACUGCAAACCACCCCUCCAUAUUUCUGUACCAUUUACAAUUCAGUUUCUGUGACAUCUUUUUAAACCACUCCAGGAAAAAUGAGAUAUUCUCUAAUUUAUUCUUCUAUAACACUGUAUAUAGAGCUAUGUGAGUACUAAUCACAUUGAAUAAUAGUUACAAAAUUAUUGUAUAGACAUCUGCUUUCUUAAAUAGAUUGUGAGUUCUUUGAGAAACAGCGUGGAUUUUACUUAUAGAUGUAUUCACAGAACUUGGCACAGUGCCUGGUAAUGAGCAAGCAUACCUGCCACUACUUUUCCUUCCCACUCUCUCCAACAUCACAUUCACUUUAAAUUUUUCUGUAUAUAGAAAGGAAAACUAGCCUGGGCAACAUGAUGAAACCCCAUUUCCACUGCAAAAAAAAAAUAAAGAACAAAACAAACCCCAUAAAAAUUAGCUGGGUAUAAUGACACAUGCCUGUAGUCCCAGUUACUCAGGAUGAUUGAUUGAGCCUUGGAGGUGGAGGCUACAGUGAGCUGAGAUUGUGCCACUGCACUCUAGCCUGGGAGAAAGAGUGAGAUCCUGACUCAAAAAAACAAAAGAAAAUGAAACAAACAAACGAAAAACAGAAAGGAAGACUGAAAGAGAAUGAAAAGCUGGGGAGAGGAAAUAAAAAUAAAGAAGGAAGAGUGUUUCAGUUAUAUCUGAAUGAAAAUAUGAAUGACUCUAAGUAAUUGAAUUAAUUAAAAUAAGCCAACUUUUUUUUAACAAUUUACAUUUUAUUUCUAUGGAAAAAAUAAAUAUUCCUCUUCUAAAAAA
Molecule: small RNA, 5154 nt
Filed under: Pongo abelii (Sumatran orangutan)
Lineage: Eukaryota; Metazoa; Chordata; Mammalia; Primates; Hominidae
Description: retained intron
Source: RNAcentral